GCGGGUGUAGUUCAAUGGUAGAACGGUAGCUUCCCAAGCUACAUACGAGGGUUCGAUUCCCUUCACCCGCU
Molecule: transfer RNA, 71 nt
Filed under: Verrucomicrobiota bacterium
Lineage: Bacteria; Pseudomonadati; Verrucomicrobiota
Also listed under: 2 other names
Description: Verrucomicrobia bacterium tRNA-Gly
Rfam family: tRNA
About the family: Transfer RNA (tRNA) molecules are approximately 80 nucleotides in length. Their secondary structure includes four short double-helical elements and three loops (D, anti-codon, and T loops).
Source: RNAcentral